UAGGGAAUCUUCCGCAAUGGACGCAAGUCUGACGGAGCAACGCCGCGUGAGUGAAGAAGGAUUUCGGUUCGUAAAACUCUGUUGUUAGAGAAGAACAGCGCAUAGAGUAACUGUUAUGCGUGUGACGGUAUCUAACCAGAAAGCCACGGCUAACUACGUGCCAGCAGCCGCGGUAAUACGUAGGUGGCAAGCGUUGUCCGGAAUCACUGGGCGUAAAGGGUUCGCAGGCGGAAAUGCAAGUCAGGUGUAAAAGGCAGUAGCUUAACUACUGUAAGCAUUUGAAACUGCAUAUCUUGAGAAGAGUAGAGGUAAGUGGAAUUUUUAGUGUAGCGGUGAAAUGCGUAGAUAUUAAAAAGAAUACCGGUGGCGAAGGCGACUUACUGGGCUCAUUCUGACGCUGAGGAACGAAAGCGUGGGUAGCAAACAGG
This 428-nucleotide ribosomal RNA is filed under the name Bacteroidota bacterium. RNAcentral's name for it is "Bacteroidetes bacterium partial 16S ribosomal RNA". It matches the Rfam family "Bacterial small subunit ribosomal RNA", at positions 355 to 776 of the family's 1533-position model. Lineage: Bacteria; Pseudomonadati; Bacteroidota. The record is from RNAcentral.